Non-coding RNA from Paramisgurnus dabryanus, 1047 nucleotides. Lineage: Eukaryota; Metazoa; Chordata; Actinopteri; Cypriniformes; Cobitidae. The record is from RefSeq and is a predicted model, not a curated record.
UGUAAAAAAUUGCUGUAAAAAAACGGGGAAUUUUGGACAGUAAUUUACCGUUUCUCAUAAAUACAGUUGAAUACUGUAAAUAAACAUUAAUAUGACAAACAAAAUAAUAACAGCAAGCUCCUGUUCAGUCUUACGGGAUAAUACAGUAUUUUUUGGUUUGGUCAGGCAUGUCAGACAUGUGACGAGCUCAUCUGCAACCAUGAGUAAAACUGAUUUAACUACACUGUUUUUCUGCAUUUUAUUAUACGAGAAGGAAGCAGAAUUAAAGACUGUCUAUCCAUUUUCACUCCGAUUGUGACCCUACCAGCACUGAGACGGACGACGAAUUCACUUGUUUUUUACUCCUCGCCUGUAUAUCAAGUUGCUGGUGAUGAAGUAACAUUUGGAGGUUGGAUGAUCAGCAGUGAAAACAUCAUCAUCUGUGAAGGCAAGAUGAAGCUGCGAGGACACUGGAGUUUGUUCAAAGAUGCUUAAUUGGUGUGAACCCUAAGAGGUGAACAAAAGCCAGGCAGGUGAAGGUGUCCGAGAAGACAGGAAAGCUUGUCCAGAAAAACGCAGCAACUGUUAAUCCCCAUGUGACCACCCUCAUCAAAAACUUCAUGGACUUUGAGUGGCUUUCACAUUGUAUUCUGCAGUGUUGUGAUAUUUAUGUGACAUCACAGCAUUAUGUUUUAUUCAGCCCAGUCUCAUUAGUGAGGCAGAAACUGACAUUUAAGAAUGCACUGAAUUUUGUUAUAUUUAAUAAAAACAGUGUUUUAUCAUCAUCCUUUGUUUGAGAAUUUUUUUGCAAGCAAUUUUAAGUGUUUAUUUUAAAAUUACAUUUUAACAAUGCUAGAAAAUCACAUUCUACAGUAUAAAUAACAGCAGGAACCCUAAAAUAACAGUAUAAUGCAUCCAAACAUCUGACAGUAUUAUACUGUGCAGCUCCCUUUUUUUACAGUACUGUCUCGUAAUAUUUGUACAGUAAAAAACUGUUGUUGUAAAUUACAGUAGGUAAUCUGUAAAAUUACAACUAUAUGCUGGCAAAUCUAGCUGCCAGUAUAUUAC